AUUAAAGCUUUGAAGAGAAAGAGUAAGAUUAAUAGAGUUAUAAAGAGAGGUUCCGGGUGGUGAAAGGAACAUAACAAGUUAAUUUGAAUACGUCUCUGAGCAGCACUCCGAAAGAUAACAACCAGUAGGCAGAUGUCGUAAUUUGCACACGUUAUAGUGCUAGAGUAUAACCAGAUUAUUAUUAAAUUUAUAUCUGAGUACUUGAAGAGGUUGUUAUUGUGAAAUAAUGAUAAAAUAAGGUGGUAACACGUAAGUAUUGCUUUCGUCCUUUAC
Molecule: non-coding RNA, 273 nt
Filed under: Clostridium butyricum
Lineage: Bacteria; Bacillati; Bacillota; Clostridia; Eubacteriales; Clostridiaceae
Description: T-box sequence
Rfam family: T-box leader
About the family: Uncharged tRNA acts as the effector for transcription antitermination of genes in the T-box leader family.
Source: RNAcentral